CCUACGGGUGGCAGCAGUGAGGAAUAUUGGUCAAUGGGCGCUAGUCUGAACCAGCCAAGUAGCGUGAAGGAUGACUGCCCUAUGGGUUGUAAACUUCUUUUAUAUGGGAGUAAAGUGCAGUAUGUAUACUGCUUUGCAUGUACCUUAUGAAUAAGGAUCGGCUAACUCCGUGCCAGCAGCCGCGGUAAUACGGAGGAUCCGAGCGUUAUCCGGAUUUAUUGGGUUUAAAGGGAGCGUAGGCGGGUUGUUAAGUCAGUUGUGAAAGUUUGAGGCUCAACCGUAAAAUUGCAGUUGAUACUGGCAGGCUUGAGUACAGUAGAGGUAGGCGGAAUGCAUGGUGUAGCGGUGAAAUGCUUAGAUAUCACACAGAACUCCGAUUGCGAAGGCAGCCUGCUAGACUGUAACUGACGCUGAGGCUCGAAAGUGUGGGGAUCAAACAGGAUUAGAUACCCGAGUAGUC
This 460-nucleotide ribosomal RNA is filed under the name uncultured bacterium. RNAcentral describes it as "partial 16S ribosomal RNA". It matches the Rfam family "Bacterial small subunit ribosomal RNA", at positions 338 to 795 of the family's 1533-position model. The record is from RNAcentral.